Non-coding RNA from Danio rerio (zebrafish), 2401 nucleotides. Lineage: Eukaryota; Metazoa; Chordata; Actinopteri; Cypriniformes; Danionidae. The record is from RefSeq and is a predicted model, not a curated record.
CUUUGAGAAUGAAAUGCCAACUUAACUACAUGCCAACUUAAAUACAUCCAAUCAGCUCGCAGUAGAAAAAAAACAAGCCAUAAACACUGCUUUCUGAUAUUGGAACUGUCACAAUAUGAAAAAAAAAAACGGUCACAGCUUCCAUUUCAUGCAGACUGUAACAAUUUAGUUAUUGUGAGACUCAAGUCUCCUCUAUUUUUGUAUAUACUUUUAAUGAAAUCGAAACCCUUAUGUCUUUAAAGGAUUUAAUGAUGCCAAACAAUCAAAAACUGUGGGCUAAUAAAAAUUAUUCGUAAGAGCCUGUAUUACUAGGUUCAGCAGUUAUCUUGGAAUGUCGUGACUGACCAAUCAGAAUCGAUUAGUCCAGAGAGCUGUACAAUGAUGUAUUACCAUGCAUGCAUAAUGAAUGCCUUAUAAUAUGUUGUAGCACCUGGUAAAUAGUCAUGCUGUAACUACAGUAAAACAAGUAUUCAUAGGAGUUUUAAAGCAUGUAUAACUUUAUAUUGUAUAUGUAAGUCUGAUGCCAAUAGAUUUAAUUCCUGACACAACUUGCAAUGUCAAUGAACUUAUUGAUGUUACUGUGAGUGUGAGGGGGAGGGUUUUUGGUGGGGAUAGGUGUGCACAUUAAAAGCAUUGCAUGUAGCUCAGCUUCGAUGAAUUCAGAGUAUAUCCAGAGUUUAGGUGGAAAAUGUUCUGAUCAGUAUUAUUACUUGUAAUAGUAAAUUACGACACGGCACAGUGUAACAUUGUUUAUAAGGCAUUAUUCAAGCAUUAUAAUACAUUUAGAAUAUAAAGUGUGUGAUCCCUAAUCAAUUCUCUGUUCCUUAUGGAAAAGUGCUAAGAGUUGAUGUUUUGCCCUUGGUGUACUUUUAAGAUCUAGAUAUUGUCUCCAUGAGCAAAUAUAACUGUCAGUGCUUCAGAUCUUAUCAGUGAGGACAAUUUUGUUUGGGAGAUCAUUUAGUUUAAAGAACAAGUUUAAGGUAAAGUAUGGUAAUGGUAAAAGUUGAUGCUACACUGUAAAAAAUGAAUCUUGAGGCUUGUAAAUUUCAUUAAAAAAAUUUAUGUGGUCAUUAAAAAUAAUGUGCAUAUUUUCUUUAAAAAAAAAUAUAUUCUGGAUUAAUUAUAAAGUAUUAAGAAGAUUUUGCUAAUACAAUCAAGAGAUAAAUUUCACUUAUUUUUUUAAGUAAACCAGUGCAAUUAUUAGGCUUACUUUUAGAAACCAGUUAAGCUAAUAAAAUUGAGGAAAGAUGGAUUCACGUUUUUUUUAAAGAAAAUUCACUCAAUUAUGCUGAUUUGAUUGAGAUGUUUGCAUUUGAAUCUCAACAACGGCAGUGACCAGACGACAUUUUGAAGAAGCAGAUCAAUUAUAAGCAUGCUAAGCUAAGAGGUAAGCCUUAACAGUUUAUCAUUUUUAUUGUCUUAAAUAAGCUCUUUCAUGAAAGACACUGCUGUUUAAGCUUGUUCGGGAGCCUAGUUUCUGCCAUAUGGGUACACGGGUAUUUUUAAACACCCAUUCCUAUUUGAAAUUGAUUUGCUUUAAUGCUCAUUCUGAAUUGUAUAUUUAAACUGAACAAAUUAUGUGCAUUGUAAUAUUUAACAGCUCUGAUCAGGCAACAUUUAAGCGGGUGGACGAACAACAGUGAUCUUGUUGGUUAGCCUAAGCUAAGCUAUGUUAGCUAUAGCCAUUCAAUGGGGUUUAUGCACAGCUAGUGUUUUUCCAUUUCAUAAGGUUCCUUUUACAGCAUUGAUGAUGUAAUGUUAUUAACUAUGUUUAUAUAUAAUACUGUACAAAAAUGCUUAUAUUUGUUUGAUUAAUUUUUCAGAUUAAUGAAGAAAAUGUUCAUAGUAUUUUCCCACAAAAGAGGAGCAGUUUACUCAGGCAGAUUCUGAUAAAGAGAAUGGGUGCCAAACAGCAGACCUCACAUUAAAUCAGGGAUAAGACGAGAGAAGCUGUCCUCUGUUGCUGGUCUAUUUGUAUGAAAAAGUGGAGCAGCUCAUUCAGUAGUGCAAUUGUGGGAAUGCACAGAGGAUUGCUGUCUGCCAGAGAGAUGACCUACAAUAAGGAUUUCUGCAUUGUCUUGGAGGAUGAGCGAGUCAUGGCUGGCUUGGAAAAUCUAGAAUUGCUGAACUGGAUUUAUACAAGUAUUCCCCAAAUUAAAAUCACCCACAAACAAACUUUUAAGAAAUUUUAUUAACAAACUUUUGUUUCUGACACAAAUUCACUGUUACAAACUUUUGGGAAAUUGUUACUGCAUCGACUGAUUGAUUUAUUGUGUUGCUAAUAAUUUGAGAUACAGCUUUUAUACUGGUCUUAUAUGUUGUUCAAUACACAAAUUCUGUCAGAGUUUGUCUAAAAUGUGAUUAUUCCUACAAAAGAAAGCUGACAGAAUUUUUUUUUCCA